UUUAUUUUACUUUACUAUUUUAUUUUAUUUUGUCAUUUAUCAAGCUUAAUCGGAAGAAAAAAACAGCAUGUUAUGGAAUCCUAUGUGCACCUCCUUUGCAAAAUAAGGAAAAAGUGAAGCCCAAGAACAAGAAAUAAGGCCGGCCCAAACACCAAAUCCGGCAUCAUGGCGGGGGCCAUGGGGUCUGAAUAUUUAACGGGACAGAAUCCCAAAAUUCACCAUUUUUUCCUUUUUCAACCUCUUAAAAUCCAUUUUUCCUCCUUCCAACUCCAUUGAAG
This 278-nucleotide long non-coding RNA is filed under the name Lathyrus oleraceus (garden pea). Its description in RNAcentral is "Pisum sativum (pea) long non-coding RNA (PSAT_LNC031993)". The record is from RNAcentral. Lineage: Eukaryota; Viridiplantae; Streptophyta; Magnoliopsida; Fabales; Fabaceae.